Molecule: long non-coding RNA, 789 nt
Filed under: Physcomitrium patens
Lineage: Eukaryota; Viridiplantae; Streptophyta; Bryopsida; Funariales; Funariaceae
Description: long non-coding RNA (PPAT_LNC009241)
Source: RNAcentral
UAUUGAUGAAUGGCUACAAUCAUUCUUAUUUUCCCAUUGUUGAUGCUGGUAUACAAAUAAAUAGCACAUAGAAGUUUUUGAAUUCUAAAUUAAUGAAGCAUGUAAAGCAGUUGAAGAAUGCCAAACCAGAAAUAAAAAACCGGUUUGCAUCUAAAAUGGUGAGAAUCAAACAUAUUCUACAAAAUGUUCUGUUCCUUUGAAGAUGUUGGAGCAUUCCUACAAAUAUCAUUCAUUUAAGAUUGUUAAUAACUAGUUACCAUGGAAUCAUGGCAAAAAUAUAGUCAAUCCACCAAAUGUCCAUUUUCAUAUCACCAAAGCACGUGAAACCACUAUCAAUCAAUUCCACCACCAAGUCCAAUUCACACGACGAGACGACGAUGCAAAAUGGAUGAACGUCCAUGUGCAUUCGCCAUCCAUAAAUUCCUUAAGAUGGAAUCGGCUUUUCGACGGUUUGGAUGCAAGCUGCCAUACCGACAGGAGAUAGAGAUUCCACGCAACGUAUCUCGACGGUGCCGAAAUGUUGGAAUCCAUUAUUCCCUGCCACAUGCAAAACGAGUAGCGAGGUUUUUAGCAACUCAAAAGUCAUAGGACCCUUUUGAAAUCUACCACUCCGUCUUUGGCUGAUCCCUUUAAUGUUGACCUAAAAUCUAGAACAGAGGGUAACUGGUCUGUCAUAUUUCAAACCGCACCUCCGCAUUCAAAUGUGCCGGUUUGGUGUUCGCUUCAUAUCUAUCUUGACGAAGGUUUUAGAUCAUUAGAAAUGUUCGAAAAUGGCGAUGUUAUUGGCGA